This is a non-coding RNA of Ictidomys tridecemlineatus (thirteen-lined ground squirrel), 3630 nucleotides long. The record is from RefSeq and is a predicted model, not a curated record. NCBI's taxonomy places the organism in Eukaryota, Metazoa, Chordata, Mammalia, Rodentia, Sciuridae.
UGGGAUUCCAGGCAUGCAUCACCGCACAGGCCGGUCUCUGAUAUUUUAGAUGUCAGUAAAAACGGGCUGCUUCCAUGACAUGCAAGUGGGAGAAAAAUACCAUAUAGACAAUAUUACCUAUAAAAUUGUGAGGUCAGGGACAAUUUUUCCUGUCUUCUUAUCAUUAUAUAUUUGUUCCCUUUAAUGUUUUUUUUCUUAAAACAAACUCCUAUCUUGAUACUGUUUUACAACCUCUCUUCCUCUAGUUACUUUGAUGGGCAGUUAAAACCAUCCAUCCAUCCUUCUUUCAACAUCACCCAGCUGAUUGCUAUGAAUACAGAGACUAGCAAGAAGACACCUGCUUCCCCAGAACAUCUUUUUCUCUUCCCACUAUUUUUUCCCCCUUCCUGUGCUGUAUCAAAUCCACAACCUCAUACAUGUGAGGUAAAUGCUCCACCACUGAGCCUCACCCCCAAACCCAGAACUUGCAUUUUAACAGAGAGGACACUGAACAAACACAAUGAUGGAUGCUGAGCUCUGUGGGAGGGGAUACCAGGAAGUAUGCAAGAGAACACCUAGUGGAGUCUUUACCAAAGGCUGAUCACGCCACAGUGUACCAGGCAUGAGAAGUCUGCAGAACAUGUGGGAGAUGAGGUUCUGCCUUCAGAGACCUUGCGGUCUGGCUGAGGUAACCAGAUGGAUGCAGAGGAAACAGAACCAUGGAGGGUAACUGGAUGGGGCACCUCAAGCUGAAUUUGGGUUUCAGAAGGGUAAAGCAUUUGGGGUCAGCAGUCAACUCACAAUGUCUAGAAUUGGGUCGACUUAUUUGGUUCCAUCUGGAACUUGAGGAGCUCUGUGGCUAUUUAGAACUUGUACCAUUAUAUAACAAAACAUUGUGGGUGUGCAGCUUUUCUUAGCUAGCUCUUAAGGGGCAGAAAUCAUGGAUUGUACUGCUUUGCAUUUCUUGUGGUGUCUAGUCCUUGGCUGUCUCUUUGGUAGCUACUCAAUAAACAUUUGUGAAAUAAGUGCAGGAUGUCAUAAUUUCUUAUUGUUUUUCUGUAAUUCUAGAGCACAAGCAAGAUGAGGGGCUACGAUUACUCAGGGGGUUGGAAGUUCUAGGUUCCUUGUUGGCUUUUCUGGCAGCCUCUCAUGGAAGCUCCGUUCACCCCACGUGGAGCAAGAUGAACAUUCUAUAAUCUGUCAAGGUAAAGUUUCUAGUGCAUGAAGGCUAAGUUCCUACUGUGAUCCAGGAGAAUGGAGAUGACCAGAGACUGACCUUGACAUCUGGGAACUCAAUGUCUAGCUAAGAAGGCAGGGAAAAGAUGUUCAGCUAUAGUAAGGAACGCUUCAUUGUCCGGAUAUCCCAGCAUCUGACUGCUGAAUGAAUGAGGCCUUUGCCUGCACCAUCACGGACUGGGAUUCGGAUGACUGUCUCCAUCUUCUCACGAGAACCAUUCUGAGGACAGAUGACAGUCUGAUGCAGAUGCAUAUUCACCAUUGCUCCCUUCAUUUAUACAGGGAGAAGUUGCUGCCCAUGAACCAAGGAGUAGGCCUCACCAGCAAGAAAACAUGCAGCACCCUGACCUUCGACCUCCCAGCCUCCAGAUCCAUGGGAAGUAUGACAGACAGAAGCCGAUUUUAAAAGAAACUCACAAUUGCCAGCGUGUCCCUUGUAUGAAUCCCACGGCUGGAAUUUUUCUGUAAAUCGGCAUCUUCAGAGAGGAAGUGCCCUUGUGUUCUGAAACGCGGCUCUAGAGAUGGCAUUGUGAGGCUCCAUAUUUACUCUCUGCACAACUUUCAUUUCAAAGAUUCUUACUUUGUGAGCCAAAGGGUUUUUUUUUUUCCUUUUCUUUUCUUUCUUUUUUUUUUCUUUUUUCUUUCUGCUUGUCCCCGAAAUGGACUGAACCUGAAACUCAAGAGUCAAGCUGUGCUCUUUCUGCCUCUGACAUCAUUAGAAACCCAAAAGGUGGCAGCUGGCCUUCAAACUGUCAGCCUCAAAAUGAAAUCUUACGCUACUGAAGGUUCCAGAGAGUCGGAACCAAGGUCUUGUCUCAACUGUGGUAUCAGGAGGUCACACCAAAGGACCGUCUUCUUCCCAGUUGCUUAAGGAAGUAUGGCUCCUUACGUAGCUCAUACCUGAUGUUGGUUGUCCAAUGCUUUCCCCCUGAAGCCUACCUCUUGGUAAAGGAGAGACCAUCACACACAGACUCUUUGUGAAUGAGGAUGCUAUUAAGGAUGUUUUCCAUGUGAGCCAUUUGAGUGGAAGUUGCUAGAAGCAAUGUACAGCAGUAAGAACAUAACUCACUGAGGGUCACGCACACCAAGACCCAGGUAAUAAGCAUGACCUGUACUAUUUCUGCAUCUAUUCAAUAAGGGGGCUGGACCAGAGAGUCUACAGAAAAUCCUCAUGGUUUUAAGAUUCUCUGACUGCAAUUAGAUGUUGAAGAAUGAAUAUACAGAAGAGGUAUAAAAUAAAAUCACCAUCAAAGAUGUCCUCUAAAAUGGUGACAGAACUUACCUCGGAAAGCAGAGUGGACUAAGAUUGGGAUGACAGACAGGAUUUUAGAUUUACCUGCAAUUAAAAAAUGAUAAUAAUGGGCCAAGAUGUGGCUCUCUCCCGGUAAGUUGCAAAACAAUGCAUACAGUAUAGCAUUAUUUAUAUAAAAUGUGUCCACACUUAGGAAUUACUCUGUAUAUUUUAUACAGACAUAUAUGUGGAUGUAAGUUUCUAGAAAAAAGCUAUGAAAGCAUAGACACCAAGCUGACAACAGUUACAUCAGGAACUAGGAAGUAGGGGAUGGGCGAUAGUGGUUGAGUUAACUUUAGAACUAUCUACAAUGCUUUAAGGAAGAAAUUCAUGUAUUUUUUUUUUUGUCUAAUGAAAUCAUACAAAUUAUGCAUAUGAGAAGGGCAAAGCCCAUGUAGUUACUCAUGUGCACAAACACACACGAUGCCUUUGUGCAAGUAAGACUUGAUGGAAUAAUUGGAGAAAUUUCAGUUGAAUAACAUUUGGCAAUCAGAAAUGGUCCUUAGGCAACCUGCCAGCAAGCUCAGCUCCUCCUCUGGGGAGCCUUCCUGACUUGGCUCCCACUGACCUUGCCCUCCUCAAAUGCCUGCCCUCAAUAUCAUCUCUCUCCUCAUCACAUUUCUCUCUCCAGAGUCUCUUUGCAGUUCAUCUUUAUAGAUCCCUGAAAAAGUCACUAUUCCUCAUUUCAUUCAAAGUCUGUGUCUCAGAGGUACAAGCCUGAGCAACUUAUGUGAUUUGCUGUUCUCCAAGCCAUGAGGCCCCAGUUCCCAGGGUGCAUCCCAAGUCCGGAGACCCAGUCAUACCACUGCAUGGGAGGCCCAAGGCGAGGGCACCAGGGAUCGGCACUGGUUGUAUCAGGCAGAGUUGGAAAUACAGCUUUGAGGAGUGGCGUGGCUCCCCAUCAUAUCGAGGGGAGAAAAAAAACACAUUCCUCUCCCACAUGAGAGAUUCAGAAAGGAAAGUGAUUUGGAACCAUGCUUCAGAAACCUCCAGAAACCUCAUCACCUUUUAGCCAGCCAAUGCCACUUGAUGAAAAAGAUCAGAAAUAAAGAUAAUGGUGUCUGUACAGAUAUUCAUCCUGUGGUCGCUUGUGGAAAAGUGUGGGUCUUCCAUGUGGGGUACUA